UUUGACCUGGCUCAGAACGAACGCUGGCGGCAGGCUUAACACAUGCAAGUCGAACGCCCCGCAAGGGGAGUGGCAGACGGGUGAGUAACGCGUGGGAAUCUACCGUGCCCUGCGGAAUAGCUCCGGGAAACUGGAAUUAAUACCGCAUACGCCCUACGGGGGAAAGAUUUAUCGGGGUAUGAUGAGCCCGCGUUGGAUUAGCUAGUUGGUGGGGUAAAGGCCUACCAAGGCGACGAUCCAUAGCUGGUCUGAGAGGAUGAUCAGCCACAUUGGGACUGAGACACGGCCCAAACUCCUACGGGAGGCAGCAGUGGGGAAUAUUGGACAAUGGGCGCAAGCCUGAUCCAGCCAUGCCGCGUGAGUGAUGAAGGCCUUAGGGUUGUAAAGCUCUUUCACCGGAGAAGAUAAUGAC
RNAcentral lists this ribosomal RNA (412 nucleotides) under Agrobacterium tumefaciens. RNAcentral's name for it is "bacterial SSU rRNA". It matches the Rfam family "Bacterial small subunit ribosomal RNA", at positions 12 to 455 of the family's 1533-position model. Lineage: Bacteria; Pseudomonadati; Pseudomonadota; Alphaproteobacteria; Hyphomicrobiales; Rhizobiaceae. The record is from RNAcentral.